AAACCAAGUUUGAGAAGGACAACAUCCCAUGGGAGGAACCAUGCACUGGAGCAGGGCAAGACAGUGAAGAUGAAUUGACAGUAGACGACAAUGCAUUAUGGACUGACUGGAGCUCCAGUUCCCCUGCUCUGUUCAAGGGGAGGAGGUUGAAACUUCACUGAAACAUUGAGUUGACUCCAUGACUCAAAAACAUCAACUCCUAAAUUCUGUGAUGAACAAUAACAUGGAUCAGCUUCAAAAUGUGUGACCUUUUCCUUCUGGAAGGAAAAGUAGUAUCUUUAUUCUGUGAAGUAACAUAAGCUGACUCUGGAAAGAAAAUCUCUGUGUCAUCUGAACAUCUUCAGCUCCUUGAGCCUUCUGCCAGCCUUUCAUGGAGAAAAUGGGAAUGGCCUUGGCUCUGUAGAACACUGUUUAGCAAUAACUAUUUUUCCUAGAAUGAAAAAAAGGGAAACAUCUGGCCUAUAUUGCUCUGACAAGCUUUCUACAGGGAAUUCCAGGCAUGCCAAGAAUUCUCGGCAUCCUCAAAAAUAAGGAAUGAACAUAGUCACUUUGCCCCAAGGAAAAUUGUUUGCUGUACAGCUUUUGACUCCAUCAUUCUUUCACAGUUGUUGCAACAUUCAAAAGCCUGAGGGGACUUAAGAGAAGCAAUCAGCCAAGCAUGACUUGUAUAAUAUUGAAGUGUCUGAAGGACAGUAUUUUUAGGCAGGUACUCUUCCCAGUAGGCCAGGCUGUUCAGAGUGACAUCCAUCCUUGACUUGAAUGCUUCCAGGGAGGGGACAUCCACAACCUCACUGAGCAAACUGUUCCAGUGUCUCACCACUAACCAGUAAAGAAUUUCUUCCUACAUGACCUUGUUGAACUUCAUGAGGUUGGCAUGGGACCACCUUUCAGGCCUGCCAGGUCCCUCUGGAUAGUGUACCCUCCCUCAAGCAUGUCAACUGCACCACGCAGCCUGAUGUCAUCUGCAAACUUGUGGAGGAUGCACUUCAUGUUGCCUACAAAAAUGUUAAAAAACACUACCAACACCGAUCCCUGAAGAAUGACGCUCAUGACCUGUUUUCACAUGGACAUUGAGCUGCUGACUGCAGCUCUCUGAGUGCAACCAUCCAGCCAAUUCCUUCUCCAGCCAGUGGUCCAUUCAUCAAAUCCAUUUUUCUCCAAUUUAACAAACCAGGAUGUCAUGCGGGACAGUGUCAAAUGCUCUGCACAAGACCAGGCUAUAUUACAGAGAGAAGGCAGAAAAAGUCAUUAAAUCUCUUUGGCCUGGAAAAGAGACAACUGACUGGAAACAAAAUUAUCAAAGAGGCUGGUUCCAGGAAACCUGUCCGGAAGAGAAGAACUACAUACUCCUGGGGCCUUUGCAUUCAGAGAGGAGAUAUAACCCCCUGGCAAGGUCACCUGAUGUGCCUUUUUUUCUUCGGUUCUCCCUCAUCCUUGCUGCUUGACCCAACCGUGUGUCUCACCUCAGAGCCUUUCUUCAUAGGAGAAGUGCUCCAGCCCUUUGAUAAUCUUCAUAGACCUCCUCUGGACCAGCUCAAGCAGCUCCAUGUCUUCCCUGUGCUGGGGACCCCAAGUCUGGAUGCAGUACUCCAGAUGAUGCAUCUUGAAGGCAGAGCUGGGGGGAGGGGAGACAAUCACCUCCCUCUUCCUGCUGGACACUCCUCCCCUGGUGCAGCCCAAGAUACUCUUGGUCUUCAGUGCUGUAAGCACUCACUGCUGGCUCAUGUCUAACUUUUCCUCCACCACGACCACCAAGUUUUUUUCCAUAGGGCUACUUUCAAUAAGUUCUUGCAGUGUUUACAUACAUCUGGGAUUACCUGACCCACAUGGAAACCCCUUGUGCUUGAAUUAAUAUGGGAAUGUUAUUAAUGGAAUAAAAAGGGGAGGGGAAAAAAUAAAAUAAAAAGCAAAAAUAAUUGAAAAAAAAAAAAACAGCUUGUAAUUUGGAAAUCAAAUAGAAGCUCAUGUUUAUUCAGCUUCAGCUUUCCCUCCUACUCAAAUAUAUUACUCAUAUUUUAAUUUUUCCUGAAGUGUCAAACCAUGUGAAACUACAAAAUAUGGAAUCAUAAAAAAAGGUGUUCUGCAGAAACUGAUCUAAAUCCAUCUGGCAAUAUUCAGUACAAUACUAGCUACUUAAUCUUUUGUGUUCAUUUCUUUGUUUCCUCUGUUU
Molecule: long non-coding RNA, 2170 nt
Filed under: Gallus gallus (chicken)
Lineage: Eukaryota; Metazoa; Chordata; Aves; Galliformes; Phasianidae
Description: lncRNA (ENSGALG00010001049.1)
Source: RNAcentral